This is a long non-coding RNA of Hippopotamus amphibius kiboko, 1852 nucleotides long. RefSeq lists it as uncharacterized. The transcript is spliced from 4 exons. The record is from RefSeq and is a predicted model, not a curated record. NCBI's taxonomy places the organism in Eukaryota, Metazoa, Chordata, Mammalia, Artiodactyla, Hippopotamidae.
ACUUUUCAUAAUUUCAGACUGUCCUUCUGCCCAAUUGCUGAGUCUGGGCACACAGACAGUCAAGGCUUUACCUUUGGGAAGCAGACACCCCAGUCACAAGACACAGGUCUCGGCUCUGAGAUCCACAGGGCUGCGUUCAGAGAGAAAAACAACAAUGGGAAGAUAUCUGGAGGGUAAUGAAAUGACAGUCCAGUGAACAUGUUUCAAAAGCACACUCGUUUUUGAAAGACAGAACUAUUAAAUUAGCAAAAAGGCAUACAUUAGACCCAACAGAGCUGAGUUUCCAAAUGUCUUUUUGAAAUAAUUAACUCCAGGCAUCAGGGAUCAAGUAUAUUCACUGCAAGUAGAAAGUGGCUGCAGGACCCGAAGCUGGAAGGUGGACCUGGAGAAGGGUGUGUGGAAGAUGGCUGGAGGAGGCGGCUGUGCCAGGAAAACAGGCAUUUCCACUAACAUGAGGAAUCUCUUGGGAAGAGGAGUGAAGAGCACAGGCUUAGAGAUCCAGGCUAGAGUCUUUAUCCACCACUUACUGGGGAAUUCCACGGUGCCAGCCAUGGUGUGAAGCAACUACUAACUUCAGCUAUUGCCCAUUUUACGGACGUGGAAACGGAGGUGACGGGGACCCAACUGCUGCCUAGACACUUACCAGUCAGUUUGCUGAUUGGCAACUUCACUUCACCUGUAAACUUCAUUCCCCUCUGACAAGUAAUGCAACGUAUUCCUGGGUUCCAGAGACUAUGACAACAACAUGUUUGAGGGGAGGCAUUAUUCUGCCGACCACAGAUCAUCCACGGUUGUGCUGUCCUCCAAACUCUGCUAAGAAGCUCCUCGGCGAGCCUUUCGUCCUAAGACAAGCUGUGCCCGUGGAUCUGUUCCCUCACACCCCGCACUUCGAACUCGUGCUUCUCUUCACUCGAUAAGCAGCCUCCUACAAGCCUGCAGGUUCUUUGUUAAGGCUGAAGUGUCAGGUAACUUCCAGGUUCGGCAUAUUGCUACCUCGCAGACCCUGAGAGCAUUACCAGGGAAACCAAUGUUUGGAUCCUGAGCAGGAAGAAUACAGUGGGUCUCCUACCUGAGGCUCAUUUCUAACCUUAGUUUUCAGGUUUGCUGGCUCUCUUGCAUGUUUGCCUGGUUGUGACCACUCCUUGGCCCUGGAUCUGGACUGUUCCUUCCUUUUGCUGUCAGCCUGUUAUGGCUCCCUUGAUCCUAGUCUAUAUAGUCUGUCUCCUCUGUCUGGCUCUGCCUGAGGUGGGGUGACAGCUGAGCUUUUCUCUGUAUCUGGUCAUAAUGUCACAUUGACCUGGGUUACUAUAUCUGCCCAGAAAUUUUACUAGAUGUGUUCUGCAUUCAUGAAGGAGACAAAGAUUAGAACUAGAAACAAGUCUAGCUUUUUUAAAAAGCAGAGUAAGCUUUGAAGCGAUUACAGAGUGACUGCGUGAUCUCAGUAGAGAUUCAUUCCUUUGGGUUUUCUGGGCUUUGAGGCUUCCAGAACAGCCUUUAAAAAUGUGGUUACACUGAAGAGCAAUACCGCCAAUUAGCUCUCACCUAUGGAGGGAGAAGUGGUUGUAGUAGAGACCCUAUGGGAAGGGAGACCAUCAAAGAAGACACUGAAUACCUGUAAUUGUGCUUUGUAGUAUGGAGGCAGAAAGCUCCAGAAUCCCCUAAUGAUCCAGUAUAUAUAUACUAUAAUAAACUGGAUAUUGAAACUGACAUUCUCUCGUCAUGAUUUCUUCAACUCUGGAGUUGUUAUGGGAUACGUGCCCAACAAUUAAAUUAUGUUUUGAAUCGUAAUAGCCUAAGGACUUGUAACUCAGCACUGUCUGAUUUACAAACUGAUAUCAGGUCAGCUAGUGUU